Molecule: ribosomal RNA, 416 nt
Filed under: uncultured bacterium
Lineage: Bacteria
Description: partial 16S ribosomal RNA
Rfam family: Bacterial small subunit ribosomal RNA
Source: RNAcentral
AAUAUUGGACAAUGGCCGAAAGGCUGAUCCAGCCAUGCCGCGUGAAGGCAGACGGUCCUAUGGAUUGUCAACUUCUUUUGUACGGGAGCAAUAAGUGUUACGUGUAACACGAUGUGAGUACCGUACGAAUAAGCAUCGGCUAACUCCGUGCCAGCAGCCGCGGUAAUACGGAGGAUGCGAGCGUUAUCCGGAUUUAUUGGGUUUAAAGGGUGCGUAGGCGGAAAGGUAAGUCAGCGGUGAAACUCAGGUGCUCAACACCUGCCGUGCCGUUGAUACUGUUUUUCUGGAAUGCGGAUGCUGUGGGAGGAAUGUGUGGUGUAGCGGUGAAAUGCAUAGAUAUCACACAGAACACCGAUUGCGAAGGCAUCUCACAAAUCCGUGAUUGACGCUGAGGCACGAAAGUGUGGGGAUCGAAC